This 611-nucleotide ribosomal RNA is filed under the name Flavobacterium sp. Ri1Pw_5761. RNAcentral's name for it is "bacterial SSU rRNA". It matches the Rfam family "Bacterial small subunit ribosomal RNA", at positions 378 to 992 of the family's 1533-position model. The record is from RNAcentral. Lineage: Bacteria; Pseudomonadati; Bacteroidota; Flavobacteriia; Flavobacteriales; Flavobacteriaceae.
GCAGUCUGACCAGCCAUGCCGCGUGCAGGAUGACGGUCCUAUGGAUUGUAAACUGCUUUUGUGCGAGAAAAAACAUCCCGACGUGUCGGGACUUGACGGUCUCGUUUGAAUAAGGAUCGGCUAACUCCGUGCCAGCAGCCGCGGUAAUACGGAGGAUCCGAGCGUUAUCCGGAAUCAUUGGGUUUAAAGGGUCCGUAGGCGGUUUAGUGAGUCAGUGGUGAAAGCCCAUCGCUCAACGGUGGAACGGCCAUUGAUACUGCUGAACUUGAAUUAUUAGGAAGUAACUAGAAUAUGUAGUGUAGCGGUGAAAUGCUUAUAUAUUACAUGGAAUACCAAUUGCGAACGCAGGUUACUACUAAUUGAUUGACGCUGAUGGACGAAAGCGUGGGGAGGGAACAGGAUUACAUACCCUGGUAGUCCACGCCGUAAACGAUGGAUACUAUCUGUUGGGAGCAAUCUCAGUGGCUAAUCGAAAGUGAUAAGUAUCCCACCUGGAGAGUACGUUCGCAAGAAUGAAACUCACACGAAUUGACGGGGGCCCGCACAAGCGGUGGAGCAUGUGGUUUAAUUCGAUGAUACGCGAGGAACCUUACCAAGGCUUAAAUGUAGAU